UGGCUCAGAUUGAACGCUGGCGGCAUGCCUUACACAUGCAAGUCGAACGGCAGCACGGAGCUUGCUCUGGUGGCGAGUGGCGAACGGGUGAGUAAUAUAUCGGAACGUACCCUGGAGUGGGGGAUAACGUAGCGAAAGUUACGCUAAUACCGCAUACGAUCUACGGAUGAAAGUGGGGGAUCGCAAGACCUCAUGCUCGUGGAGCGGCCGAUAUCUGAUUAGCUAGUUGGUAGGGUAAAAGCCUACCAAGGCAUCGAUCAGUAGCUGGUCUGAGAGGACGACCAGCCACACUGGAACUGAGACACGGUCCAGACUCCUACGGGAGGCAGCAGUGGGGAAUUUUGGACAAUGGGCGAAAGCCUGAUCCAGCAAUGCCGCGUGAGUGAAGAAGGCCUUCGGGUUGUAAAGCUCUUUUGUCAGGGAAGAAACGGUGAGAGCUAAUAUCUCUUGCUAAUGACGGUACCUGAAGAAUAAGCACCGGCUAACUACGUGCCAGCAGCCGCGGUAAUACGUAGGGUGCAAGCGUUAAUCGGAAUUACUGGGCGUAAAGCGUGCGCAGGCGGUUUUGUAAGUCUGAUGUGAAAUCCCCGGGCUCAACCUGGGAAUUGCAUUGGAGACUGCAAGGCUAGAAUCUGGCAGAGGGGGGUAGAAUUCCACGUGUAGCAGUGAAAUGCGUAGAUAUGUGGAGGAACACCGAUGGCGAAGGCAGCCCCCUGGGUCAAGAUGACGCUCAUGCACG
RNAcentral lists this ribosomal RNA (739 nucleotides) under uncultured Janthinobacterium sp. RNAcentral's name for it is "bacterial SSU rRNA". It matches the Rfam family "Bacterial small subunit ribosomal RNA", at positions 20 to 755 of the family's 1533-position model. Lineage: Bacteria; Pseudomonadati; Pseudomonadota; Betaproteobacteria; Burkholderiales; Oxalobacteraceae. The record is from RNAcentral.